GGGGGACAGAGAGGGAGAGAGGGACAGGCACAGGCUAAGGCUGGGGAUUUUUGUUUAUUUGUUUGCUUCUUGUAUCUCUAUUAGAGGAUUCUUCCUUAAAGACUUGGGGUAAAUUCAGUUAUUCUGGGACGCCCUUUUCCAUGGAUUAACACUGACUUGAGGGCGAGACACAUUUUGGAAGGCUGCUAACUUCUAAGACCCUAGUGCAUGUUGGGCAUUUUUGCAGAGCAGGGUUCAGUUCCAGCAGUUGUGUUGCCAUGGAAACAGAUGCUCCACCCCUCAACCACUGGUCACAUGGUGAGGGAACUUUAACACAUGAAGGCAACAUUUAUGAAUGAAAAAUGAGGCAGCAGGUGAAAAAAAAAAACUGGAAGGUAAAGUCAGGAAACAAAGUUCAACUUCCGUUACCUUGUCUUCCAUCUCACUCCCAGCUCCAGGACGAUUCAGAGGACCUGGAGAACUUGGCGAAUCACUGGACUGGAACAAAAGAGGACGCAAUCCAGUCAAACACCAGAAAAGCAAGUUCUGGGCAAAUACUCAGACACCAUCUGAGCCUGGCGAGGGCUGCCCCCUCCUUCAUACAAGGGCCUCAGGAAGUGGCACUUGCCCAGGAAGAUGCCCUCCAGCCCAGAGCGAGUCAUAAGAAAAGCUUUUCCCACCUGGUCCUCCCUUCUGCAGACCAGUGCCAUCAGAUGCCCCCAUCUGCUGCCCAGCGUCCUGCCCUGCUUCUGGGCAAUCCUGCUUCCCUGCUGGAGACUUACUUUGUUCUCAGUGUCUGA
This 779-nucleotide long non-coding RNA is filed under the name Fukomys damarensis (Damara mole-rat). RNAcentral describes it as "lncRNA (ENSFDAG00000029588.1)". The record is from RNAcentral. Lineage: Eukaryota; Metazoa; Chordata; Mammalia; Rodentia; Bathyergidae.